CCUACGGGAGGCAGCAGUGGGGAAUAUUGGGCAAUGGAGGAAACUCUGACCCAGCGACGCCGCGUGCGGGAUGAAGGCCUUCGGGUUGUAAACCGCUUUCAGCAGGGAAGAAGCGAAAGUGACGGUACCUGCAGAAGAAGCACCGGCUAACUAUGUGUCAGCAGCCGCGGUAAUACAUAGGGUGCAAGCGUUGUCCGGAAUUAUUGGGCGUAAAGAGCUCGUAGGUGGUUCGUCACGUCGGAUGUGAAAAUCUGGGGCUUAACCCCAGACCUGCAUUCGAUACGGGCGAGCUUGAGUAUGGUAGGGGAGUCUGGAAUUCCUGGUGUAGCGGUGGAAUGCGCAGAUAUCAGGAGGAACACCAAUGGAGAAGGCAGGACUCUGGGCCAUUACUGACACUGAGGAGCGAAAGCGUGGGGAGCGAACAGGAUUAGAUACCCUGGUAGUCCACGCCGUAAACGGUGGGCACUAGUUGUGGGGACCUUCCACGGUCUCUGCGACGCNGCUACGCAUAGUGCCCGCCGUCGGGAGGUACGAGUCGCGAGAAGUUAAACGUACGUAAGUUAAGUUAGUACGCGUUGAGACGNGCGACGGACGACGACGAGGGAGGAGG
This 610-nucleotide ribosomal RNA is filed under the name uncultured bacterium. RNAcentral describes it as "bacterial SSU rRNA". The stretch from base 1 to 520 matches the Rfam family "Bacterial small subunit ribosomal RNA", at positions 338 to 873 of the family's 1533-position model. The record is from RNAcentral.